RNAcentral lists this long non-coding RNA (251 nucleotides) under Sorghum bicolor (sorghum). RNAcentral's name for it is "long non-coding RNA (SBIC_LNC012892)". The record is from RNAcentral. Lineage: Eukaryota; Viridiplantae; Streptophyta; Magnoliopsida; Poales; Poaceae.
GAGAACUCUCAGGAAACUUCCUCUCUUCCCACCAAAAAUAAUUAUAUAGUUAUCCUUUGGCGAUCUUGGAUCUUAAUUAGUACACUCACGUUCCCUGUGGAAAAUCGAUACUCUGGAAUACUCCCGUGUGAAAGCUACAUCGGUAUCCGUGCGCUUGCGGAUUUUUCUGUUUGCGUUUAAAAUACCCAACAGUCUUCCCAAGGACCAGCUGGCAUGGAUGCCUUACGAAGAUCGAGAAACCAGAUUCCCAC